UGAGAACUGGGUAGUGACAGUUAUGCUUUAUAAAAAGAAAUAGAAAACCAGGGAUAUGUUUGGUGGAGGCUUGCUAUGGUGGGAGGUAAGCAGGUGUUUUUGCAGGCCCAUGCUGAGGCAUCUUUUCCCCUGAGAUACCAUCAUAUCCAGUACUCCCAUCUCCUAGGACCUCCUGAUUCCCCACCCCUCUAGCACAGAGAUCAUAACCAGCCCUCCCAUGCUUGUUUGGCUCUGUACAUGGUUGCUGGGGAUUGAACUUGGGUCCUUAGGCUUCCAUGUGGCCAGCACUUCACUGACUGAGCUGCUUCCCCAGCUCAUUGUGUGUAAGGGCACCUGUGGACACAUGUGUGGAUGUCAUGCACUGGGGAGGUACAGUGUACGGGACCCAGAAGUUGAUGGGUAUCUUCUGUGACAACUAUUUUAUUUACUGGGGAAGAGUCUCACAUGAACACCAGGGUUGCAGGUUGAGCUGCUCUAGCCAGUGAGCUUACCUCAGGGAUCUCAAUCUUUGUGUCCUGAGCACAGUAAUACAAGUAGGCCAUGUUUUGAUGCACUCUAGUGAUGGGAACUGGGGGCUCAUCCUUGUGCACACAAGCACUUUAUCCACCAAGCUUCCUUACCAGCCCACAGUUUUGAUUUUCGCUUGGUCCAUUUGUUAUUUGAGAUGGUGUUCCUCUCUAGCCCCAGGAUAGCCUAGUAGCACAAAUAUAGCCCAGUUUGGAAUUAAACUCACAAAAAUCCCCCUGCCUCAGUCUUCCAAGUUCUGGGAUUACAAAUCUGAACUACCAUGUCUGACUUCAACAUGCCUUAGAAACAAGUCUGGCCCUUCCAGGCCUAGUGGCAAGUGGCCCCGAUUUUGGGAAGCUGUAUUGUUCCUGCACAAGAAGUGAGUCACUCCCUGAUGCCUUGCAGACUCUCACAGAAUCAAAUUAAAGUUCAGUCAGUGCCUUCCCUUCUGCCCUACUAAUCUGGACAAUACCAAGAACCUGGGUACUGCUGUCAACGUGAAGAUGUUCUGUUGCAACGAAGACUUCUGCAAUGCUUUCAUUCCCCCUCGAGGUCUCAUCUGAACCAUGUCAGGGGUGCUUCUGUUCAGCCUGGGCUCAGUCCUCCUGCAGACCCUGCUCUGAUGAUCCUUCUAGUGUCCCCCACCCUUGUCCUUUCAUCCUCAUUUGCAACCACUGCUUACUGGAGCCCUCUAGUAAUGAGUUAUGAGUUAUAGAAGCUCUGAGUUGGAGGUAGUGUGUGGAACACCUUGUUUCAACUUUACAGGCACUGCUGGGUAGGUGCCCCUCCUCUCUAGAGCUUUCAGAUCUGUACUUCCUGGAAUGUUCUUUUGUUGUGGCUUGCUGCUCUUGACCCUGGCAGCAUGUGGAAGAAUCAGAAUUCCAAGGUAUUAUGCCAUCAGCAUCCAUGCAGAAAUAUCUGGGGUCCUGCAGGCUUUCCACGUGUGCAGCUCAAUGUCCCCGUGCUGAGUCUAAUAAACCCUUUGUUCUCCCAGCUAAGGUCUCCCUUUUUCUUUUGCUGCUCUGAGUCUACGGAGUCCUGCCUGCCAGGUCAUAUCUGUGCCCUUUCAGCUGGCCAUACUAGCUAGCUCGUGUUAGCCAGUUCAGUGUAGUUGAAUACUUGGUUUGGGUGGGCUAAUGCUGGGGGAAAAGAGAGGGUUCCCCCACUUCCAAAGAGCACUUGCUUGUGGUGCGGAAUAACACAGGAGAUGAGCCCUCAUCGGUGGGCGGGGCUGCCCUGUCAGAUUUUUUUUUUCCAGAGAUUGAAGCCAUUUCCUGUAGGUGCUCAUGGCUUGGCUCAGAGCAAACAAAGCAUCACACUGCCUUUCCUGAAGUCCUACUCUAUAUGGGAUGCCCCCAGUGGAAAGGUCUGACUUGACACAUUAACAACCAGGGAUCCAUCACUGGGACAUGAAACUUGAGUCAUGAGUAAGGAUUCUGGAGACUUCUCCUAAAUUAAGCUUUGACUCUGUUGCAGUUUCUUCUGGCCUCUGCUUCCAAUGCUGAGUUUGCAAGUAUGUACUCACUACCACCCUGGCCAUUCCCUAUGUGUUUUAAAAGGGCAGAAUGCCCACAGCCUUGAAGUGAGGCACUCAGGCCCUGCAGGAAAGCUGGCCCCAAUGGCAUGAGCACAGGAGAGCUGGUCCAGAUGCCUGCCAGCUGCCACAGGCAGUAGAGCUGGUCCUGACCCCAACCUGGGCUAAGCAGGAGAGCUGGCCUUGGCAGUUUGGGUUCAGGAGAACAGGUGGGAUGACCAACUCAAUUACCACUCA
Molecule: long non-coding RNA, 2278 nt
Filed under: Mus musculus (house mouse)
Lineage: Eukaryota; Metazoa; Chordata; Mammalia; Rodentia; Muridae
Description: long non-coding RNA chr15:75024381-75026659
Source: RNAcentral